GACCGCGUAGCUCAGUUGGAAGAGCAUUGGGCUAGUAUCCAAAGGUUGUAGGUUCGAAUCCCACCGUGGCCG
This 72-nucleotide transfer RNA is filed under the name Paramuricea clavata. It matches the Rfam family "tRNA". From Rfam's summary of the family: Transfer RNA (tRNA) molecules are approximately 80 nucleotides in length. Their secondary structure includes four short double-helical elements and three loops (D, anti-codon, and T loops). Lineage: Eukaryota; Metazoa; Cnidaria; Anthozoa; Malacalcyonacea; Plexauridae. The record is from Rfam by way of RNAcentral.